CAAGCGUUGCUCGGAAUCACUGGGCGUAAAGGGCGCGUAGGCGGGAUGGCAAGUCGGUCGUGAAAUCCUUCGGCUCAACCGAAGAACGUCGGCCGAUACUGCCGUUCUUGAGGGAUGCAGAGGAGAUUGGAAUUCCCGGGGUAGCGGUGAAAUGUGUAGAGAUCGGGAGGAACACCGGUGGCGAAGGCGGGUCUCUGGGCAUCUCCUGACGCUGAGGCGCGAAAGCGUGGGGAGCAAACGGG
This 242-nucleotide ribosomal RNA is filed under the name uncultured bacterium. Its description in RNAcentral is "partial 16S ribosomal RNA". It matches the Rfam family "Bacterial small subunit ribosomal RNA", at positions 535 to 776 of the family's 1533-position model. The record is from RNAcentral.